GACGAACGCUGGCGGCGUGCCUAAUACAUGCAAGUCGAGCGAAGUUUUUCUGGUGCUUGCACUAGAAAAACUUAGCGGCGAACGGGUGAGUAACACGUAAAGAACCUGCCUCAUAGACUGGGACAACUAUUGGAAACGAUAGCUAAUACCGGAUAACAGCAUUAACUGCAUGGUUGAUGUUUAAAAGUUGGUUAUGCUAACACUAUGAGAUGGCUUUGCGGUGCAUUAGCUAGUUGGUGGGGUAAAGGCCUACCAAGGCGACGAUGCAUAGCCGACCUGAGAGGGUGAUCGGCCACACUGGGACUGAGACACGGCCCAGACUCCUACGGGAGGCAGCAGUAGGGAAUCUUCCGCAAUGGGCGAAAGCUUGACGGAGCAACGCCGCGUGAGUGAAGAAGGAUUUCGGUUCGUAAAGCUCUGUUGUUAGGGAAGAAUGAUUGUGUAGUAACUAUACACAGUAGAGACGGUACCUAACCAGAAGGCCACGGCUAACUACGUGCCAGCAGCCGCGGUAAUACGUAGGUGGCAAGCGUUGUCCGGAAUUAUUGGGCGUAAAGCGCGCGCAGGUGGUUUAAUAAGUCUGAUGUGAAAGCCCACGGCUCAACCGUGGAGGGUCAUUGGAAACUGUUAAACUUGAGUGCAGGAGAGAAAAGUGGAAUUCCUAGUGUAGCGGUGAAAUGCGUAGAGAUUAGGAGGAACACCAGUGGCGAAGGCGGCUUUUUGGCCUGUAACUGACACUGAGGCGCGAAAGCGUGNGGAGCAAACAGG
RNAcentral lists this ribosomal RNA (768 nucleotides) under uncultured bacterium. RNAcentral describes it as "bacterial SSU rRNA". It matches the Rfam family "Bacterial small subunit ribosomal RNA", at positions 28 to 776 of the family's 1533-position model. The record is from RNAcentral.